This 622-nucleotide ribosomal RNA is filed under the name Akkermansia muciniphila. Its description in RNAcentral is "bacterial SSU rRNA". It matches the Rfam family "Bacterial small subunit ribosomal RNA", at positions 37 to 680 of the family's 1533-position model. The record is from RNAcentral. Lineage: Bacteria; Pseudomonadati; Verrucomicrobiota; Verrucomicrobiia; Verrucomicrobiales; Akkermansiaceae.
UGGCGGCGUGGUUAAGACAUGCAAGUCGAACGAGAGAAUUGUUAGCUUGCUAAUAAUUCUCUAGUGGCGCACGGGUGAGUAACACGUGAGUAACCUGCCCCCGAGAGCGGGAUAGCCCUGGGAAACUGGGAUUAAUACCGCAUAGUAUCGAAAGAUUAAAGCAGCAAUGCGCUUGGGGAUGGGCUCGCGGCCUAUUAGUUAGUUGGUGAGGUAACGGCCCACCAAGGCGAUGACGGGUAGCCGGUUUGAGAGGAUGUCCGUCCACCCUGGAACUGAGACACGGUCCAGACUCCUACGGGUGGCAGCAGUCGAGAAUCAUUCCCAAUGGGGGAAACCCUGAUGGUGCGACGCCGCGUGGGGGAAUGAAGGUCCUCGGAUUGUAAACCCCUGUCAUGUGGGAGCAAAUUAAAAAGAUAGUACCACAAGAGGAAGAGACGGCUAACUCUGUGCCAGCAGCCGCGGUAAUACAGAGGUCUCAAGCGUUGUUCGGAAUCCCUGGGCGUAAAGCGUGCGUAGGCUGUUUCGUAAGUCGUGUGUGAAAGGCGCGGGCUCAACCCGCGGACGGCACAUGAUACUGCGAGCCUAGAGUAAUGGAGGGGGACCCGGAAUUCACGGUGUAGCA